Long non-coding RNA from Amblyraja radiata (thorny skate), 80 nucleotides. RefSeq lists it as uncharacterized. NCBI's taxonomy places the organism in Eukaryota, Metazoa, Chordata, Chondrichthyes, Rajiformes, Rajidae. The transcript has 3 exons. The record is from RefSeq and is a predicted model, not a curated record.
UCUGUUGCUGGCAUUGAAGCUGCAGGGAUGGCAUCCGGCCAGAAGGUGGCGCUGUGGAUGGUAAGUUCGUAAGUUCGAGC